ACAUAACACCUGCUGAAAUCCUUUCUUCUAGUCAACAAUUAAGAAUACAAAACCUUUCUCCAGUUUUUAAUCUGACAACCUUAUACUGUAAGUAAUUAAUUUUUAAAAAAAUUAUAUUCCAAGCUUUGAUUGCAUUGUCAAGAUGAUAGAAGAGGAAAAACAGGAACAUGUAGCUUCCGCAGUAGCUGUUCCUCUAGUUAGAUUCUAGAAGUAACCAGAAGGAAGUGACACUUACCAUUUUCUUCCCUACAGAUGAACUUUCCAGUGCUCCCUUGCAGAACAUUGCUAUCAACAAAAUGCUACAUUUGAUAGACUUUAGGUUUGACUCGGAAGGGCAAUCCUCUCUGUUUUUUCCCCUUCACUUCAAAUUUUAUUGCUAUAUUUUUGUACCAUAUAGGAUGGCAGGUUGUCUAUCUUCUGCUUAUUUUAAAUACAGGUGGGAAGAAGCAAGCUGGUGUGAGAUCCCCAUUCCAUUACUGGGUAACGAAAUAACAACCUAGUCAUUAAAAAAACAUUGUGCCAUCAUUCUUGUGACUUUGUGUUCCUUCUGGAUGAAGCAUGCACGUGGUGAAUAACUUAAGUUAGCAACAUUCUGAAUAAGGUCAGCUUUCAAUCACAAGCCAGGAAGAGAAUGCCAUGUAAAAGUUAUGCGAUGAGCAGAAACCACAUAAAAAGUUAGAAUUUUAGACAAUAAAGUUGGACAGUCUCUUAAGAACCAUCAAAGCAGUCAUCAAGGAUGAUAUUGAAACAUUGAUAUGGCAGAAAGUCAUGGAGCCCUCUCCAAGCUUCUGGCUAUUGUGGACACCUCUGCUGAAUGAGUGCCCAUGCAAUGAGCAAAAAGAUGGUGAUAUUGCCCCCCUCAUUAUCAUCGAUUUCCUGGAUACUCUUUUCUGACAUCAGCAGAAAUGCCCACGGUGACUAGGAGCCUGGAUGGAACUUCAUGGCCAGCUAAGAACAGCAGUGAUAUGGAGGAGAUGGGAUAUAUCCAUCCUAGGACGCUUAUUUUGAGCCAUGUAAUGAGGUCGUAUGUUACAUUUGCUGCUGUUCUGAAUCCAGGGAAGAUUGAUCUCAGAAUAAACUGGAGGUGUAGAUUAGCCCUGAGAGAUAUAUAAUAGUUGAACAGUGAAAACGCAAAUACCUUUCAAGAAUUCUUUGAACCUUCCCUACAUACCUUGCAAAUGGCAAAACAAUGGUCUCUACUCAGGUAAGAGAGCUUGAUUUUCUUUCUGUUGAAUUUGGAGGACAAUUCAAAGAAAUCAGGGAGCCUCAUUACUACGUACUCCAUUCUUCUUCUUCUUUAUCCCCACAAAUCUCUCUUUAAAGGUUGGCUGGAAUGUUUAAUAGACUGACUGAACACUGAUACCUUUUUUUCAUUCUGUCCUGCCUGCCAGAUAUUUCACUUUCAUUUUACAAGCAGACUAUGACAAAAGCCCAGUAAUAAAGAACAAAACACCAAAAAGGGAAAUAUAAUAAAUUUCUUCUUCUUUCACAGAUGGGGGAUGCUGGAGCUUAAGGAGGGACUUAACAUGAAGGACUUUGUUGCCUCAUCGGGCUUCCACAUCAGAGAGUUCCUCUGAAGGCUUAGAGCAAUUCCUGCCCAUAGAGUCAAAAUGGGGUUGCAAAGGUGAGAGAAUAAAAUGGAAGAAGAUCAAAAAAUUGUCAUCUCAGGAAGGAACUCAUAAUGCUCCAAAUUUUUAAAAAAAUGGGGGGUAGAAAAGGUGUUUGCUAUUAUGUUUCAACAGUUCUUAGGGAAAAGGAGGUUUUCAUAUGAAAUAUACUUUUUAUUAUUAAAAUGGAAAUUCUGGUUGGAACACAAGGGAGUGAGACAAUACCAUGAAACAGAGCAGACUACUUUGAAAAGGAAACAUGCAGUAACUGAUCACAAGAGGAAACUGGAUAAAUUUCAGAAAUCUUAAGCAGGCAAAGUGAACAAAAGGUUACCCUAUCAAGAUUCUGUUCCCUUCAGGAGGACUAAAAUGAACAACCCAACUUAAGCCUCUUCCUUUCAUAACUCCAGAUCCCAGCAUACAGAUGCCUGCUAUAAUAAAAAGGAAGGGUUGCAAAGAUGAAAAGAGAAAAAGCAAAAAGGAAGGAAAGGAAGGAAAAGAAGGAAAGAAGAAAUGGAAUAAGGAUACAAAAACAGAAAGAAAUAAAAGUUUUGAGCCUAUUUCUAGCUGUGUGACAUAGAAAUAUUUAUUAUUUCCCAGUUCUGUUCAAGGUCUGCCUCCUUUUAAACAAUGAACAUAAAGUUUGAGGCUCACGUGUUUUUUAAAAAACAGCUUAUUUAUUCAAGUCCAAACCUAGAUAAAAAUCAAAUUCAUUUGGAAGGCUGAUACAGAGUUCAAUAGCCUUUAAUUUUUAAGAUGCACAUAAGCAGGCUAAUAAGCUAUUUGAAGUCAGCUACAACUUCAGAGACUUUGCUAGGGCAAGAUGAGUAAAUUAUAUUUUGAUACUUGAGAUGCGACUCGGAGGUCUGUGAACACACAUCAAGAGUGACUAGGAAGUGAACUGUAAGCUUUUAGUUACCAUAUUAUCUUUGAAUAGAUAAGGAAAUCGGUAUUUUCAAAAGACUGCAUCAGCACUAUGGAAGACAUGAGCCAUGACCUCUGUGGAAAUUGGCAAAGUAGUUUAAAAUGUGAGCGCUCUUCAGUAGCACCUAAGGGUUGUCACAGUUACAAUCCAGAGUUAAAUCUUAAAACUACAUUUUUGAAAUAUGAUAUAAAGAAUUCUUGUUCUUAUCACAAUACAGUACUAAAUUUCCUAGGAAAUUGUGAGGUUGGCUUUCUUUUGUAAAUGUGCAGUUUCAUCUUGUUGUGCUCCAGAAAUGUAUAGGCUGAGGAAAACACCGUGAAGAAAAAAGUCUAUUUGUUCUGUAUGCCCUUCUAAGUAAAGGUAUAAUUUUGCUUUUGCCAGAAGGAGAAAAGAGAACAUAAUGCAGAUAGUCUAGUGACAGCCUCCUGCUGAGAAAUAUUCAGGUCUUCUUCUGGAUGGCAGCUCUAAACUCAUUGAAAAGGAGAGACCAUCCUGGGAUUUAGUUUGAAAUUUAAAGACACAAUUUGGGAUGCUGACUCUAUUUGGGAAAUAGAGUUCAUCACCUUGAUUGGAUCAUUUUGGGCUAAAAGUUGAAGUGAUUUCUCUGCCUGCCUAGCAUAGAAGCCAUCAGCUGCUUAUAUACAUAUAACAUAGACCCCUUCUACACUGCGAUAUAAAAUCCAGAUUAUCUGCUUGGAAUUGAACUAUUGUAGUCCCAGUUCAAAGCAGAUAAUGUGGAUUAGCUGCUUUGAUAAUCUGGAUUAUAUGGCUGUGUAGAAGGGGCCACAGUUGCCAUAUUGCAAAACAAAGCAAAACAUUUAGCUUUUUUUCCCUUGGCAUUUGCUUUCCUAAAAUGAUUGUUUGUCUUUUAAGUGGAAGAAACUUUCUCUUUCCUAAAGCUGCCUUGAAUCCCAGCCUGGGAGGAAGACAUAAUCAAAAUAAAGAAAUGUGUGGGUAUUGUGGAGAUCCAUGUUAUAGAAUGCUUACCCCUUUUUAAAAAAUCCUAAUCUGCUUCCUUCUUUUUACAUAAACUACUAAUUGGAUGGUUUCAUUGUGAACAAUUUUUAAAUUGUUUUAUUUGUCUGCUUGUCACCUUGAGCUGUAUUUUUUUAAAAGAAAGAGGCAAUAUGAAAUGUCACAAUAUCAGCAGUCUAAAGGACCUAUGCAAUGUGAUAAAUGCCUUUGGCAGCUACGUGACAACUGUAGGAUUGUGUCCUAAGCUUAAAACAUUUUAUUUAAUCCCCUUAUACUAGGUAUUUUUUUAAAAUGGAUUUUGAUUUAUGGGGCAUUCUCUGACACUUGAGAAUUCUAAUAUAUUGCAGAUUAGGUCUUAGGAACAUGGGUGCUUGUUCUAUAUUCUGAGUAAAAUGCAUGCUUUUUGUAACAUAUUUUUUUCAACUGUAUAGUGCAAAAAGCAUAAUUCUAUUAUGUUUUCUUUGUGUAGUUAAACACAUAUUUCUUGUGUUGUAUUUUUCUCUUUGCACAGCAUGAAAUGCACACUUCUUGUAAAGUAUGGCUUUAUAUGUUUUUUGCAUUGUUAUUUGUAUAGUAUGAAAUGCCUGCUUUUUGUUUUGUUGGAUUUGUAUACUGUAAAUUGUAUGCUUUUAUUUGUACAGUGAAAAAUGCAUUGAUAUGGUAUAAAAUGCAUAGUGAAUAGAGAACAGUAUUCCUACCAAACUCUGUAAAAGACCCAUUGUCUCCCUGUCAAAAAAUGAAUUUUCCCCAAACAAAUUCAUUGCUGAGCACCAAAAUACAUAACAUCUUUUUAACCACAUGAUCAUUUUCCUGAAAAUUGAUAUAGAACAAGUUUGCCCUAAUGUAGUAUACCAGGCAUGGGCAAGCUUUUUUGC
Molecule: long non-coding RNA, 4382 nt
Organism: Anolis carolinensis (green anole)
Lineage: Eukaryota; Metazoa; Chordata; Lepidosauria; Squamata; Anolidae
Exons: 3
Source: RefSeq, a predicted model, not a curated record